Molecule: ribosomal RNA, 440 nt
Filed under: uncultured bacterium
Lineage: Bacteria
Description: partial 16S ribosomal RNA
Rfam family: Bacterial small subunit ribosomal RNA
Source: RNAcentral
CCUACGGGAGGCAGCAGUGGGGAAUAUUGCACAAUGGGCGAAACCCUGAUGCAGCCACGCCGCGUGAGUGAAGAAGUAUCUCGGUAUGUAAAGCUCUAUCAGCAGGGAAGCGAAUGACGGUACCUGACUCAGCAGCCCCGGCUAACUACGUGCCAGCAGCCGCGGUAAUACGUAGGGGGCGCGCGUUAUCCGGAUUUACUGGGGGUAAAGGGAGCGUAGACGGUGCUGCAAGUCUGAAGUGAAAGCCCGUGGCUUAACCGCGGAACGGCUUGGGAAACUGGGGAACGGGAAUGCUGGAGAGGAAGGCGGAAUGCGUGGUGUAGCGGUGAAAUGCAUAGAUAUCAGGCGGAACCCCGGUGGCGAAGGCGGCUUGCUGGACAGUAACUGACGUUGAGGCUCGAAAGCGUGGGGAGCGAACAGGAUUAGAUACCCGUGUAGUC